Small nucleolar RNA from Suncus etruscus (white-toothed pygmy shrew), 149 nucleotides. RefSeq annotates it as small nucleolar RNA SNORA81. Lineage: Eukaryota; Metazoa; Chordata; Mammalia; Eulipotyphla; Soricidae. The transcript has a single exon. The record is from RefSeq and is a predicted model, not a curated record.
UAUUUCUACAUUGAGUAGAAAUAAAAAAUGAUCAGACUGUUAGUAGAGUACACGCAAGAAGAAAAGUAACUGCACUAGAUUGUAGAGACUGGGGAGGACCUUUUUCUUAAUGUCCAGUGUCCUAUGUUGUAAGAUCUGGUGCAAUAUGU